CACUUACUCACCUCAGUGACUGGUGUGCGCAGCCACUCCCUGCAGAAACCUCUCCCUGCCUCCAUCCUUCUCUUGCCCCUGAGAGGCUUUGAGACUCAUCUAUCUUCAUAUGUACAUUUCCCACAGGACCAGAGCCGGCUUCUUCCAUGGCAGGACCUGCAAAUGCUGGACUCACAGAAGGCUCUGAGAAGUAAAUAACAGGUGAGGCUGGGGGUGCCUUCUUAUUUCUUGGGGUUGUCCCCAGUCUGUUAAGAGACAGUCUAACCUUGCCUUUGAAUUUCUUUUUCUUUUCUUUUUGAG
Molecule: long non-coding RNA, 300 nt
Filed under: Homo sapiens (human)
Lineage: Eukaryota; Metazoa; Chordata; Mammalia; Primates; Hominidae
Description: non-protein coding lnc-ZFP36L2-1:1
Source: RNAcentral